UACGUAGGGCGCAAGCGUUAUCCGGAAUUAUGGGGCGUAAAGAGCUCGUAGGCGGUUUGUCGCGUCUGCCGUGAAAGUCCGGGGCUCAACUCCGGAUCUGCGGUGGGUACGGGCAGACUAGAGUGAUGUAGGGGAGACUGGAAUUCCUGGUGUAGCGGUGAAAUGCGCAGAUAUCAGGAGGAACACCGAUGGCGAAGGCAGGUCUCUGGGCAUUAACUGACGCUGAGGAGCGAAAGCAUGGGGAGCGAACAGG
This 253-nucleotide ribosomal RNA is filed under the name uncultured bacterium. RNAcentral's name for it is "partial 16S ribosomal RNA". It matches the Rfam family "Bacterial small subunit ribosomal RNA", at positions 524 to 776 of the family's 1533-position model. RNAcentral also lists the same sequence under 1 other name. The record is from RNAcentral.